UUACAUUUCUAGUUGAUAGGCUCAUUAUAUACUUGGAAUUUGCACUAGUUUGAAUGCAGUCCACCAAGAAUUUAUUUUUGCACGAGUUUAUUUUUGGGUGGAAAUAUCAGGUUCGUACACUAUAUAAGCAGUUGAUUAGCAAGGUAAUAGCUUCUCCUUUGAGUGCUUCGUUCAGCACUUCAUCAUCAUCAUCAGUUUGGUUUGUGCUCACUUUAUAAUGUCUGUCACGACUCAUGAUCAUUCCUAUUAUUAAGGUUUGAUCCUCUUCCCUUGAUUGGCCGCAACUGUACAAGGUUUUACGCUCGAACCGCUGACUGCAUAUGUUGCGAAGAAGCUACUGAUCAAAUUCAGCUGUGGGAAGAAAUCUCUAAUACAGUUAUUAGGCUUCAUGAGUGAAAAUUGAAUCAUUGUUAGCCGAAAAACUAAGCCGGCGACGGGGAAGAGACACUCAAAAGUUGUUCCUUUUGUCAAAUUGGCCUUUGGGGACACAGACGAACCACUUUAUUUUAAAAUUGUAUAGUAGUAUCAUAUUUUUCGAUUUGUUUUAGGUGCAAAAUGGUAAUGAUUUGGGAUAAUUUAAAGUGUAACGAGGUUAGGUCCAGGAAAAGGACAUGGGGGUCACUCGAAAGCUCUUUCUUAAUAAUCUCUUAAAAAUGAUUGCAUCCCACAGUGAGAACGGGCAUCUGAUGUUCCCCCACUCUACCUGGAAAUGAGAUACACGUUCGGGUUGAUUAAAAUUCGUUUGUGUCAACCUUUUGCAUCCUGCAGUAUUAAAAAAGUGUUGAUUCAAAAAUGGACUGAAAAAAAGGUGGUUGUUCAACUGGCUCGGCUCACCAGGCUGAGUUGGAACUGGGGCACAUCGACUCAUGAUCCUUCCACUGUCAAGAGCGGGAGGUGUUCGUUGCUCUGUGAAACCAGCCUAACGCGGUGCCCUCUGCUAUAGUGAUCACACAGCCCAGGCCUACGCCCGGACAGUGCAACCAACUCCCAACUUGGAACGGGCGAGUCAACAUAUUGUGCACACCAGCACCUACCAGGUGAAACCCGACCAGUGUUCAACCAUCUUAAUGUCCCCACUC
Molecule: long non-coding RNA, 1079 nt
Organism: Papaver somniferum (opium poppy)
Lineage: Eukaryota; Viridiplantae; Streptophyta; Magnoliopsida; Ranunculales; Papaveraceae
Exons: 2
Source: RefSeq, a predicted model, not a curated record